UAAUACGAAGGGAGCUAGCGUUGUUCGGAAUUACUGGGCGUAAAGGGCGCGUAGGCGGCUUGGCAAGUUGGGUGUGAAAGCCCAGGGCUCAACCCUGGAACUGCACUCAAGACUGCCUUGCUUGAAUUCGGUAGAGGUUGGUGGAAUUCCCAGUGUAGAGGUGAAAUUCGUAGAGAUUGGGAAGAACACCCGUGGCGAAGGCGGCCAACUGGACCGACAUUGACGCUGAGGCGCGAAAGCGUGGGGAUCAAACAGGAUUAGAUACCCUGGUAGUCCACGCCGUAAACGAUGCAUGCUAGACGUUGGAGGGCUUAGCCCUCUUGUGUCGCAGCUAACGCACUAAGCAUGCCGCCUGGGGAGUACGGCCGCAAGGUUG
Molecule: ribosomal RNA, 376 nt
Filed under: uncultured bacterium
Lineage: Bacteria
Description: bacterial SSU rRNA
Rfam family: Bacterial small subunit ribosomal RNA
Source: RNAcentral